AUUAAUUUUUGGACAUUUUUUGUCAAUUAUGGAACUUUUUACUAAUUAUAAGGUAUUUUUGUUAAUUAUGGGGCAUUUUUGUUAAUUUUGGGGUAGUUUUGCUAAUUUCGAGGCUUAAACAAAACAAAAAUAUCUGCAAAUGGGUCGCAAAAAUUUAAGACCCAAUACAAAUGUUUCAUAAUAAUUGGUGAAAGUUGGACCUAAGUUUAUAUGAAAUCAUGUGGUCUAGAACUUAUACUAGAAUAUAUUUCAACAUUAGUCCACAACAUCAAUCUGAAUAUAAGGGUGAGUUUCAAACUUUUCUUUAGGCAUAUAUUAUGUUCACAUCAGAUAAAAAUUACAUUGAGUGGCUCGUGAAUACACUCAACAGAGUUUUUUUUAACAUUAAAACAUGCAUAGAAUUUUUUCAAAUAAUUUUCUCGUACAAAAUAUGCAACAAAUAAUGAUAAACAUAUUUUUAAAUGCAAAAUAGUUUUAUAU
RNAcentral lists this small RNA (480 nucleotides) under Arabidopsis thaliana (thale cress). RNAcentral describes it as "ATSL213480". The record is from RNAcentral. Lineage: Eukaryota; Viridiplantae; Streptophyta; Magnoliopsida; Brassicales; Brassicaceae.